UGGGGAAUAUUGCACAAUGGGCGAAAGCCUGAUGCAGCGACGCCGCGUGAGGGAUGACGGCCUUCGGGUUGUAAACCUCUUUCAGUAGGGACGAAGCGCAAGUGACGGUACCUGCAGAAGAAGCACCGGCUAACUACGUGCCAGCAGCCGCGGUAAUACGUAGGGUGCGAGCGUUGUCCGGAAUUACUGGGCGUAAAGAGCUCGUAGGCGGUUUGUCACGUCGUCUGUGAAAUCCUAGGGCUUAACCCUGGACGUGCAGGCGAUACGUGCUUACUUGAGUACUACAGGGGAGACUGGAAUUUCUGGUGUAGCGGUGGAAUGCACAGAUAUCAGGAAGAACACCGAUGGCGAAGGCAGGUCUCUGGGUAGUAACUGACGCUGAGGAGCGAAAGCAUGGGUAGCGAACAGG
This 409-nucleotide ribosomal RNA is filed under the name bacterium. Its description in RNAcentral is "partial 16S ribosomal RNA". It matches the Rfam family "Bacterial small subunit ribosomal RNA", at positions 355 to 776 of the family's 1533-position model. The record is from RNAcentral.